RNAcentral lists this non-coding RNA (32 nucleotides) under Mus musculus (house mouse). The record is from RNAcentral. Lineage: Eukaryota; Metazoa; Chordata; Mammalia; Rodentia; Muridae.
UGAUGAAAGGUGCAUGUCUUCCCACUGGGGCU